This 465-nucleotide ribosomal RNA is filed under the name uncultured bacterium. Its description in RNAcentral is "bacterial SSU rRNA". It matches the Rfam family "Bacterial small subunit ribosomal RNA", at positions 338 to 795 of the family's 1533-position model. The record is from RNAcentral.
CCUACGGGGUGCAGCAGUGGGGAAUAUUGCACAAUGGGCGCAAGCCUGAUGCAGCCAUGCCGCGUGUACGAAGAAGGCCUUCGGGUUGUAAGGUACUUUCAGCGGGGAGGAAGGGAGUAAGGUUAAUAACCUUAUUCAUUGACGUUACCCGCAGAAGUAGCACCGGCUAACUCCGUGCCAGCAGCCGCGGUAAUACGGAGGGUGCAAGCGUUAAUCGGAAUUACUGGGCGUAAAGCGCACGCAGGCGGUCUGUCAAGUCGGAUGUGAAAUCCCCGGGCUCAACCUGGGAACUGCAUUCGAAACUGGCAGGCUGGAGUCUUGUAGAGGGGGGUAGAAUUCCAGGUGUAGCGGUGAAAUGCGUAGAGAUCUGGAGGAAUACCGGUGGCGAAGGCGGCCCCCUGGAUAAAGACUGACGCUCAGGUGCGAAAGCGUGGGGAGCAAACAGGAUUAGAUACCCGAGUAGUC